RNAcentral lists this ribosomal RNA (147 nucleotides) under uncultured bacterium. Its description in RNAcentral is "partial 16S ribosomal RNA". It matches the Rfam family "Bacterial small subunit ribosomal RNA", at positions 1 to 141 of the family's 1533-position model. The record is from RNAcentral.
UAGGCGCGCCGAGUUUGAUCCUGGCUCAGAUUGAACGCUGGCGGCAGGCCUAACACAUGCAAGUCGAGCGGUAACAUUUCUAGCUUGCUAGAAGAUGACGAGCGGCGGACGGGUGAGUAAUGCUUGGGAACAUGCCUUGAGGUGGGG